RNAcentral lists this ribosomal RNA (501 nucleotides) under uncultured soil bacterium. RNAcentral's name for it is "bacterial SSU rRNA". It matches the Rfam family "Bacterial small subunit ribosomal RNA", at positions 94 to 633 of the family's 1533-position model. The record is from RNAcentral.
AGUGGCGCAAGGGUGCGUAACACGUGGGCAAUCUGCCGGGAAAUGGGGGAUAGCUCGCCGAAGGGCGAAUUAAUACCGCAUGUGGCCAGGGCAUCUAAAGUCGCGUUUCCUGAUGAGCCCGCGGCCUAUCAGCUAGUUGGUGAGGUAACGGCUCACCAAGGCUAUGACGGGUAGCUGGUCUGAGAGGACGACCAGCCACACUGGAACUGAGACACGGUCCAGACACCUACGGGUGGCAGCAGUCGAGAAUUUUUCUCAAUGGGGGAAACCCUGAAGGAGCGACGCCGCGUGAAGGAUGAAGGUCUUCGGAUUGUAAACUUCUGUCAUUAGGGAACAAUGAUAGUACCUUUAGAGGAAGAGACGGCUAACUCUGUGCCAGCAGCCGCGGUAAUACAGAGGUCUCAAGCGUUGUUCGGAUUCAUUGGGCGUAAAGGGUGCGUAAGUGGCGCGGUAAGUCGGAUGUGAAAUCCCGGAGCUUAACUCCGGAACUGGAUUCGAUAC